Salvia splendens (bonfire salvia) is the source of this 436-nucleotide long non-coding RNA. RefSeq lists it as uncharacterized. The transcript has 2 exons. The record is from RefSeq and is a predicted model, not a curated record. Lineage: Eukaryota; Viridiplantae; Streptophyta; Magnoliopsida; Lamiales; Lamiaceae.
GAUCCAUUUUUGCAGCACUUGAAUUCAAAUGUUUUGGUGUUAUUUGGUGGUACUUGGUACUUGGCAUUUAGCUUCUUGUUUGUUCUUGCAUAUGGUGCCAAAGGAAAUGCAGCGGCUGAUCUUGAGGGAGGGAGUUUGCAGAGGGCUUGGCUGCCAUGCUGCUGUUUGAGACGUGGGCUUGCUGCCCCGGGCCCGACGGGCCGAUCCGACGUGGGCCGCAGUUUUGGGCUUGGGCAUAGAGGCCCGAAGUGCAACUAAUAUGAGAUUUUGUUCUUCUUAAACUCUUUGGCCCAUCCAAGAGUAUUUGUAAUAGAAUAGUGUUCCGCAUGUUUCCUUCUAUUCGUGAAUCGCGCGUGAAACGAUCAUAUAGAGAUUAAUGUACUUUGUUUUCGAGCACUAUCAGCUCGAGAUAAAUAUCAUCGUUUUCCUUUCACUA